Molecule: unclassified non-coding RNA, 264 nt
Filed under: fungal sp.
Lineage: Eukaryota; Fungi
Also listed under: 1 other name
Description: partial contains small subunit ribosomal RNA, internal transcribed spacer 1, and 5.8S ribosomal RNA
Rfam family: Eukaryotic small subunit ribosomal RNA (bases 1-46)
Source: RNAcentral
AAGUCGUAACAAGGUUUCCGUAGGUGAACCUGCGGAAGGAUCAUUCAUAAUUGAGUGUUUUAUGGCACUCUUUAAAAAAUCCAUAUCCACCUUGUGUGCAACGUUUUUAGACACCCUGGCGCUGAUAUCUCUUUUUAUAAGAGAAGGAAAGCCAGGAUGUUUGAUUAACUUAACUCAACUCCUUUAAAACAGUUUGUCUGAAUACCUAUUUCUGAAUAACAUAAUUCAAAAAUACAACUUUCAACAACGGAUCUCUUGGCUCUC